GACUUGGUCUGGCGGUCUGCCUCACGGUUUGUACUGUCGGACCGAGCCUUACCUCUUGGUGAGCCGGCAUGUCCUUUACUGGGUGUGUCGGGGAACCAGGACUUUUACUUUGAGAAAAUUAGAGUGUUCAAAGCAGGCCUUUGCUCGAAUAUGUUAGCAUGGAAUAAUAAAACAGGACGU
Molecule: ribosomal RNA, 180 nt
Filed under: uncultured Glomeromycotina
Lineage: Eukaryota; Fungi; Glomeromycota
Description: partial small subunit ribosomal RNA
Source: RNAcentral